RNAcentral lists this ribosomal RNA (439 nucleotides) under uncultured bacterium. RNAcentral describes it as "bacterial SSU rRNA". It matches the Rfam family "Bacterial small subunit ribosomal RNA", at positions 8 to 443 of the family's 1533-position model. The record is from RNAcentral.
AGAGUUUGAUCCUGGCUCAGAGUGAACGCUGGCGGCAGGCCUAACACAUGCAAGUCGAACGGCAGCACAGAGGAGCUUGCUCCUUGGGUGGCGAGUGGCGGACGGGUGAGGAAUACGUCGGAAUCUGCCUAUUUGUGGGGGAUAACGUAGGGAAACUUACGCUAAUACCGCAUACGACCUACGGGUGAAAGCGGAGGACCUUCGGGCUUCGCGCAGAUAGAUGAGCCGACGUCGGAUUAGCUAGUUGGCGGGGUAAAGGCCCACCAAGGCGACGAUCCGUAGCUGGUCUGAGAGGAUGAUCAGCCACACUGGAACUGAGACACGGUCCAGACUCCUACGGGAGGCAGCAGUGGGGAAUAUUGGACAAUGGGCGCAAGCCUGAUCCAGCCAUGCCGCGUGUGUGAAGAAGGCCUUCGGGUUGUAAAGCACUUUUGUCCGG